Non-coding RNA from Stegodyphus mimosarum, 73 nucleotides. The record is from Rfam. Lineage: Eukaryota; Metazoa; Arthropoda; Arachnida; Araneae; Eresidae.
GCCUCCGUGGUGUAGUGGUCAGCACGCUCGACGCCUAACCGAGAGUUCCGUGGUUCGAUUCCCGGCGAAGGGG